RNAcentral lists this small RNA (520 nucleotides) under uncultured Glomus. RNAcentral's name for it is "SSU rRNA". It matches the Rfam family "Eukaryotic small subunit ribosomal RNA", at positions 569 to 1094 of the family's 1831-position model. Lineage: Eukaryota; Fungi; Glomeromycota; Glomeromycetes; Glomerales; Glomeraceae. The record is from RNAcentral.
AGCAGCCGCGGUAAUUCCAGCUCCAAUAGCGUAUAUUAAAGUUGCUGCAGUUAAAAAGCUCGUAGUUGAAUUUCGGGACUAAUAUGUCGGUCGUGCCUCGGUACGUACUGGUUUAUUGGUUUCUCCUUUCUGAAGAACCAUGAUGUCAUUUAUUUGGUGUCGUGGGGAAUCAGGACUGUUACUUUGAAAAAUUAGAGUGUUUAAAGCAGGCUCACGCUUGAAUACAUUAGCAUGGAAUAAUGAAAUAGGACGUUUGAUUCUAUUUUGUUGGUUUCUAGGAUCGACGUAAUGAUUAAUAGGGAUAGUUGGGGGCAUUAGUAUUCAAUUGUCAGAGGUGAAAUUCUUGGAUUUAUUGAAGACUAACUACUGCGAAAGCAUUUGCCAAGGAUGUUUUCAUUAAUCAAGAACGAAAGUUAGGGGAUCGAAGACGAUCAGAUACCGUCGUAGUCUUAACCAUAAACUAUGCCGACUAGGGAUCGGAUGAUGUUAAUUUUUAAUGACUCAUUCGGCGCCUUACGGG